ACGCUCGACACCUACGGGAGGCAGCAGUAGGGAAUAUUGGACAAUGGAGGAAACUCUGAUCCAGUGACGCCGCGUGAAGGAAGAAGGUCUUCGGAUUGUAAACUUAUUUUGUCAGGGAAGAAAAAAUGACUGUACCUGAAGAAAAAGCACCGGCUAACUACGUGCCAACAGCCGCGGUAAUCUGAGCGGGCUGGCAAGGC
This 200-nucleotide ribosomal RNA is filed under the name uncultured bacterium. RNAcentral describes it as "partial 16S ribosomal RNA". It matches the Rfam family "Bacterial small subunit ribosomal RNA", at positions 328 to 539 of the family's 1533-position model. The record is from RNAcentral.